RNAcentral lists this ribosomal RNA (274 nucleotides) under Paenibacillus xylanexedens. RNAcentral's name for it is "partial 16S ribosomal RNA". It matches the Rfam family "Bacterial small subunit ribosomal RNA", at positions 9 to 269 of the family's 1533-position model. Lineage: Bacteria; Bacillati; Bacillota; Bacilli; Caryophanales; Paenibacillaceae. The record is from RNAcentral.
GAGUUUGAUCCUGGCUCAGGACGAACGCUGGCGGCAUGCCUAAUACAUGCAAGUCGAGCGGACUUGAUGAGAAGCUUGCUUCUCUGAUGGUUAGCGGCGGACGGGUGAGUAACACGUAGGCAACCUGCCCUCAAGUUUGGGACAACUACCGGAAACGGUAGCUAAUACCGAAUAGUUGUUUUCUUCGCCUGAAGGAAACUGGAAAGACGGAGCAAUCUGUCACUUGGGGAUGGGCCUGCGGCGCAUUAGCUAGUUGGUGGGGUAACGGCUCACC